UACGUAGGAGACGAGCGUUGUCCGGAGUUACUGGGCGUAAAGGGUGCGCAGGCGGUUCGUUUUGUGGGUGGUGAAAUCUCCUGGCUCAACUGGGAGGGGGCCAUCCAAACGGGCGGACUUGAGGCGUGGAGAGGGACGUGGAAUUCCGGGUGGAGCGGUGAAAUGCGUAGAGAUCCGGAGGAACACCGACGGCGAAGGCAGCGUCCUGGCCACGACCUGACGCUCAGGCACGAAAGCUGGGGGAGCAAACAGG
RNAcentral lists this ribosomal RNA (253 nucleotides) under uncultured prokaryote. RNAcentral's name for it is "partial 16S ribosomal RNA". It matches the Rfam family "Bacterial small subunit ribosomal RNA", at positions 524 to 776 of the family's 1533-position model. The record is from RNAcentral.